Molecule: non-coding RNA, 105 nt
Filed under: Ruminococcus sp.
Lineage: Bacteria; Bacillati; Bacillota; Clostridia; Eubacteriales; Oscillospiraceae
Also listed under: 1 other name
Description: Glycine sequence
Rfam family: Glycine riboswitch aptamer
About the family: This family represents the bacterial glycine riboswitch. Glycine riboswitches usually consist of two metabolite-binding aptamers domains with similar structures in tandem. The aptamers cooperatively bind glycine to regulate the expression of downstream genes.
Source: RNAcentral
GGACAACACUCUGGAGAACAAUAUGAUUGUACCGAAGAAGUAAUCUGACCGGCAGCACAGCAACGUGUCAGAUAAUCUUUCAGGUAAAAGGACAGAGGCAGAUUU